RNAcentral lists this unclassified non-coding RNA (375 nucleotides) under uncultured bacterium. RNAcentral describes it as "contains 16S-23S intergenic spacer region". The record is from RNAcentral.
UCCGAUUUGUCACCGGCAGUCUCCCAUGAGUCCCCGACAUUACUCGCUGGCAACAUGGAACAGGGGUUGCGCUCGUUGCGCCACUUAAGGCAACACCUCACGGCACGAGCUGACGACAGCCGUGCAGCACCUGUGCGGGCUCCCGAAGGAGCACCGUGUUUCCACACCGGUCACGAACAUGUCAAACCCAGGUAAGGUUCUUCGCGUUGCGUCGAAUUAAACCACAUGCUCCGCCGCUUGUGCGGGCCCCCGUCAAUUCCUUUGAGUUUUAAUCUUGCGACCGUACUCCCCAGGCGGAAUGCUUAAAGCGUUAGCUGCGCCACUGAGCAGCAAGCUGCCCAACGGCUGGCAUUCAUCGUUUACGGCGUGGACUAC